This 492-nucleotide ribosomal RNA is filed under the name uncultured bacterium. RNAcentral describes it as "partial 16S ribosomal RNA". It matches the Rfam family "Bacterial small subunit ribosomal RNA", at positions 29 to 507 of the family's 1533-position model. The record is from RNAcentral.
AGUGAACGCUGGCGGUAGGCCUAACACAUGCAAGUCGAACGGCAGCACAGUAAGAGCUUGCUCUUACGGGUGGCGAGUGGCGGACGGGUGAGGAAUACAUCGGAAUCUACUUUUUCGUGGGGGAUAACGUAGGGAAACUUACGCUAAUACCGCAUACGACCUACGGGUGAAAGCAGGGGAUCUUCGGACCUUGCGCGAUUGAAUGAGCCGAUGUCGUAUUAGCUAGUUGGCGGGGUAAAGGCCCACCAAGGCGACGAUCCGUAGCUGGUCUGAGAGGAUGAUCAGCCACACUGGAACUGAGACACGGGCCAGACGGCUACGGGAGGCAGCAGUGGGGAAUAUUGGACAAUGGGCGCAAGCCUGAUCCAGCCAUGCCGCGUGGGUGAAGAAGGCCUUCGGGUUGUAAAGACCUUUUGUUGGGAAAGAAAAGCAGCAGGUUAAUACCCCGCUGUUCUGACGGUACCCAAAGAAUAAGCACCGGCUAACUUCGUG